RNAcentral lists this ribosomal RNA (253 nucleotides) under uncultured bacterium. RNAcentral describes it as "partial 16S ribosomal RNA". It matches the Rfam family "Bacterial small subunit ribosomal RNA", at positions 524 to 776 of the family's 1533-position model. The record is from RNAcentral.
UACGUAGGUGGCAAGCGUUGUUCGGAAUUACUGGGCGUAAAGCGUGCGUAGACGGCUAUCUAAGUCGGGUGUGAAAGCCCCGGGCUCAACCUGGGAAUUGCAUUCGAGACUGAAUAGCUAGGGUACGGUAGAGGGAAGUGGAAUUUCCGGUGUAGCGGUGAAAUGCGUAGAUAUCGGAAGGAACAUCAGUGGCGAAAGCGACUUCCUGGACCAGUACCGACGUUCAGGCACGAAAGCGUGGGGAGCAAACAGG